CAAUAGCAUCAAUCACGAACAUAUAAAUAAAUAUAGAAGAAACCGUUCGGAAAUGGAAAGGGAAAAAUGAACAUGGAAGACAAGAAAGUUUUCUUCAUGUUUAGCGUAUGCGUGAUACGCUUUGAAUGUCUCAGAUAAAGAUAAAGAUACUCUGCUCAUUUCUAUUUGUUCCGCAGAACGAGAAAUUUGUUGUCUUUCAUAUUGGUUUUUACGAUUCAAUUUUUGGGCAGUUUUCCCUAGCGAGUGUCGGUCCCUGUUUGAUAUAACCAGACCGUAAUUUAUACAGAUAUGUAAUAUAGAUAUAUAUUUGUAAAACUGAAAUCAGAUGAAAUAAAUGUUGCCUGAGGUUUUAAACGUUUAAUAAAAACAAUAUUUCAUUUGGAAAAAAUGUAAGAUAUGUAAAAUUACACAUUGAUCAUUUUGCUGGUCUUGUAUCAUAAAACAUGUGGCCCGAAGAGCACGUGUCCGGUAGGGAUACGUCACUUGUGUUAGGAAUCGUUUUAUAACCUAUCACAGUAAAGGAACGUCCCAGUAUAGCAGCCGAAGAAUGCCGUGAAAGUUUUUGCACAAAGUACAAUUGAUCUACAAUUGAUAUUUUCCGCAAUACUUAUCUGGUGUUCGGACAGGGUGUCCCAUACUCAUGAUAUUUAUGACAGUGGAAUGGCGUUAGUAAAUCAAUUACAAAAAUUUUCGAGAUCAAUUCUCGGUAUUGCAUCAAAUUAUUCAAAAUAUACGAGCAACACAACGUUGCCCUUUUUGCAGGCAACAAGAGGAAUAUCGACCACGCAACCACUUUCAGAAAAACAAGAGAGUAUAACAUCUAGAAAAAUAACAUAGUAUUAAUAGAAUAGUGUUAAUAAGAACAACAUUGACAGUGAACAACUAAAAAUAUAACACUGUUAUAAAUAUAUGAUAUACGAAUUUUAUUUAUGUAUUAUUAAGACAAGUAUAUCUUAUUUUUAAAUUAUUUCUAUUAUCAUAAGUGAUACAUAUAAUUAAGAGUAAAUAUAACGUUUGUUAAAGCAAGUGGAGAGAGAAUCAAAGCAAAAGGGAAAGUUGGAGAUACUAUAUUAGACAUAGUAGUAAAUAAUGAAAUUGAUUUAGGUGGAUAUGGUGCUUGUGAAGGAACAUUAACUUGUAGUACGUGCCGUUUAAUAUUUUCGAAAGAAGUUUAUGAUGCACUUCCUGACAAACCAACAGAUGAAGAAUUAGACAUGUUGGAUUUAGCAUAUGAAUUAACAGAUACGUCACGGCUAGGCUGUCAAAUAGUAAUGUCUAAGGAACUAGAUGGAAUUGAGGUAAGAGUUCCAUCAACAAUUAAUGAUGCAAGAGCAUAACUGAAAUUAUCUAUAGGUUUUUGAAAAUUUGUAUACAAUGUUAUACAUCUCUUGUUAAAAAACCCUUGUUAUAAUUAUUAAAAUAUUGGUAUUAAAAAAAUAUAAUAAAGAAUCUUGUGUUUAAAUGUGAAGCUUAUAUAUAUACAUAUGUUAUAGUAUAAUUGUAAUUUUGAUAUUUGUACAUUGCCAUUGUAAAAAGCCUAUCCAAUUAUGAAGAAAAUAUAUCUUUUAUUUUUAAUAUA
RNA transcript from Bombus huntii, 1579 nucleotides. It is a transcript of the gene named adrenodoxin-like protein 2, mitochondrial, with no coding region annotated. Lineage: Eukaryota; Metazoa; Arthropoda; Insecta; Hymenoptera; Apidae. The transcript has 5 exons. The record is from RefSeq and is a predicted model, not a curated record.